CACUCCUACGGGAGGCAGCAGUGGGGAAUUUUGGACAAUGGGCGAAAGCCUGAUCCAGCAAUGCCGCGUGAGUGAAGAAGGCCUUCGGGUUGUAAAGCUCUUUUGUCAGGGAAGAAACGGUGAAAGCUAAUAUCUUUUGCUAAUGACGGUACCUGAAGAAUAAGCACCGGCUAACUACGUGCCAGCAGCCGCGGUAAUACGUAGGGUGCAAGCGUUAAUCGGAAUUACUGGGCGUAAAGCGUGCGCAGGCGGUUUUGUAAGUCUGAUGUGAAAUCCCCGGGCUCAACCUGGGAAUUGCAUUGGAGACUGCAAGGCUAGAAUCUGGCAGAGGGGGGUAGAAUUCCACGUGUAGCAGUGAAAUGCGUAGAUAUGUGGAGGAACACCGAUGGCGAAGGCAGCCCCCUGGGUCAAGAUUGACGCUCAUGCACGAAAGCGUGGGGAGCAAACAGGAUUAGAUACCCUGGUAGUCCCAUGAU
Molecule: ribosomal RNA, 476 nt
Filed under: uncultured organism
Description: partial 16S ribosomal RNA
Rfam family: Bacterial small subunit ribosomal RNA
Source: RNAcentral